This 254-nucleotide ribosomal RNA is filed under the name uncultured bacterium. RNAcentral's name for it is "partial 16S ribosomal RNA". It matches the Rfam family "Bacterial small subunit ribosomal RNA", at positions 524 to 776 of the family's 1533-position model. The record is from RNAcentral.
UACGUAGGGGGCAAGCGUUGUCCGGAUUUAUUGGGCGUAAAGAGCGUGUAGGCGGUUUGGUAGGUCCGCUGUGAAAACUCGAGGCUCAACCUCGAGACGCCGGUGGAAACCAUCAGGCUAGAGUCCGGAAGAGGAGAGUGGAAUUCCUGGUGUAGCGGUGAAAUGCGCAGAUAUCAGGAAGAACACCCGUGGCUAAGGCGGCUCUCUAGUACGGUACUGACGCUGAGACGCGAAAGCGUGGGGGAGCGAACAGG